CCCUUAGAUGUUCUGGGCCGCACGCGCGCUACACUGAUGCAUUCAACGAGUCUAAAACCUGCUCUGAUAGGGGUGGGUAAUCUUUUGAAAGUGCAUCGUGAUUGGGAUAGAUGAUUGCAAUUCUUCAUCUUCAACGAGGAAUGCCUAGUAAACGCAAGUCAUCAGCUUGCAUUGUUUACGUCCCUGCCCUUUGUACACACCGCCCGUCGCUCCUACCGAUUGAAUGAUCCGAUGAAUACCAUGGAUUGAGAGUACGAAUAGGUUCGCUUAUUUCUGCUGCUCGAGAAGUGGAGUAAAUCUUAUCAUUUAGAGGAAGGAGAAGUCGUAACA
This 330-nucleotide ribosomal RNA is filed under the name uncultured eukaryote. RNAcentral describes it as "partial 18S ribosomal RNA". It matches the Rfam family "Eukaryotic small subunit ribosomal RNA", at positions 1470 to 1796 of the family's 1831-position model. The record is from RNAcentral.